GUUUAAUUAUAAGAUCAAUAUUUUCUGUUUAAGACAUGUGGGAUGUACCGGUAUUAUUUGGGUUUUAGAGGCAUUCUUUGGACAUGUAUACAGCACAUUCGGAAUAUGCGUCUCAAUCUGGGUUUUUACU
This is a long non-coding RNA of Sander lucioperca (pikeperch), 130 nucleotides long. RefSeq lists it as uncharacterized. The transcript is spliced from 3 exons. The record is from RefSeq and is a predicted model, not a curated record. Lineage: Eukaryota; Metazoa; Chordata; Actinopteri; Perciformes; Percidae.